This 221-nucleotide unclassified non-coding RNA is filed under the name plant metagenome. RNAcentral's name for it is "partial contains small subunit ribosomal RNA, internal transcribed spacer 1, and 5.8S ribosomal RNA". The record is from RNAcentral.
UCUCCGUAGGUGAACCUGCGGAGGGAUCAUUACAGAGUACGUGCCCUCGCGGGUAGAUCUCCCACCCUGUGUUAUUGCUACCUUUGUUGCUUUGGCGGGCCGCCCUCGGCCACCGGCCCCGGCUGGUACGCGCCCGCCAGAGGACCCCAAACCCUGAACGUCAGUGUCGUCUGAGUACUAUACAAUAGUUAAAACUUUCAACAACGGAUCUCUUGGUUCUG